RNAcentral lists this ribosomal RNA (434 nucleotides) under uncultured bacterium. RNAcentral describes it as "partial 16S ribosomal RNA". It matches the Rfam family "Bacterial small subunit ribosomal RNA", at positions 29 to 507 of the family's 1533-position model. The record is from RNAcentral.
AGCGAACGCUGGCGGCAGGCCUAACACAUGCCAGUCGAACGAACCUUUCGGGGUUAGUGGCGGACGGGUGAGUAACACGUGGGAACGUGCCUUUAGGUUCGGCAUAACUCAGGGAAACUUGUGCUAAUACCGAAUGUGCCCUUCGGGGGAAAGAUUUAUCGCCUUUAGAGCGGCCCGCGUCUGAUUAGCUAGUUGGUUGAGGUAAUGGCUCACCAAGGCGACGAUCAGUAGCUGGUCUGAGAGGAUGAUCAGACACAUUGGGACUGAGACACGGCCCAAACUCCUACGGGAGGCAGCAGUGGGGAAUCUCGCGCAAUGGGCGAAAGCCUGACGCAGCCAUGCCGCGUGAAUGAUGAAGGUCUUAGGAUUGUAAAAUUCUUUCACCGGGGACGAUAAUGACGGUACCCGGAGAAGAAGCCCCGGCUAACUUCGUG